GUAGUCCAUCAGGACGCUUUGAUUAGUUUUGUUAGGUCGUGUGGGGACAUCUGGUCACAUCUGUUCGGGACAAACAGGAAAUGAAACGAUACUCAAGCCGAUAAAACGUCAAAUGGAGACUUUGGAACGGGACGGACGAUUCAAGUUGGCGAACAAAGACGAUGUUUAUGAGUUGCUUUUUCCCUCCAGCUGAUUGAUCCCGGCGCACGGCGCCGCUCCUCCAGUCCUUCGUGCUCGCGUGUGGGGGAACGAGCAACGGCACAAACUACUGAAAACACAAGCGUUCCUUAUUGGGAACGCAGAUGUUUUGUCAUUUUUCAAGCACAAACACACUCAAACAUAGUAAAUGUAGCCAUCCAAUACCCGUAAUACCAUAAUAUUUACUAGAUAAUGAUUCAGGUUGUGGUUCAAGGACUUCGAAUUGACCUCGUGUCCACUCUUGGUCAAAGAGACAAACAGAAUAAAGUCACAACUGAAGAAGAAAAAUCCCAUAACUGCCUUUUGGAUCGUCUGGUUUUAAGGAAAUUCCUUUUGAUAAUCAUUAAAACAGACGAGGGAAGAGGAAUUAUUGGUAGUUUUCUGGGGUCAUUUUUAAUUCUUUGCAAACACUUUGUGAGGGCAGGUCCAUAUUAAAAGACACGGUAAAUAUCUUCAAACCGCGUUCGGCUGCAUGGCUGCUGUGGGAAAUGGAACAUGGGCCCUUCCGGGCCCCACGUGUUGUCCCGUGUGCUUCCACUGGCGGCUCCGCGCCCGUCUUGUAAACGUCAGGCUGGAUGUGCCGCUUCCAUCUGCGCGGGGAUAUUUUCGAGCGAGGGGCCACGUCGGGUCACCAUCUGAAGUUGUUUGCUUCUUCUUCUUCGUGUAUGGAAAAGUCAUCCGUCCUUCUCUCAGGAAAUUCCCCCUGGUCCCCGGGCUGAGACAGACAGACCAACAGACAGGCUUCAUAUCAAGGAAAUAGACCCUUUUCCCUACACGAGUGUCCUCACGCCGCUCUGCAAGCGAACCGCGGCGGAGUGCGGGAACGCUAUCCGAUACCGAUGGUAACGCGAGGAACAAGUCACUGGAGUUUAUGUUCAAUACGUCAGAGGGAUUCACUUUCAAAAUGGCCGCUCCAGUGGCGGUCGGCGUGUUUCGCUAGCAUGAAGCCGGAGACGCUGGCCGCGUUAUCUGCCGCUCGCCGCUCCGAGCCGGCUAAUCUGACUUAUUACUUCUGAGUGACGAGAUUUCUUGUCAUGUUUUUAAAUGCUUUUUUAAAUGUGUUUGACUCCAAGACAUUUAAGGAGCAAAGGUUUCAAGUGGCAAUAUUUGUGUAACUCUGUAUGGAGAAACGUUGUUCUUUCUCACAUCUGUCGAUGAAAUCAACCGCUCGUUUCAGUCGCCUGAGAAGCUCUCAGUGACUCAGCUGUUGUUGGUAAAUAUGCGGCUGCAGGUCACCAGUCAGCACGGUCACCAGUCAGCACGGCCACCAGUCAGCACGGCCACCAGUCAGCACGGCCACCAGUCAGCACGGUCACCAGUCAGCACGGCCACCAGUCAGCACGGCCACCAGUCAGCACGGCCACCAGUCAGCACGGUCACCAGUCAGCACGGUCACCAGUCAGCACGGUCACCAGUCAGCACGGUCACCAGUCAGCACGGUCACCAGUCAGCACGGUCACCAGUCAGCACGGCCACUUGUCAAACUGAAACACGCGUUGCACUGAAACCAUCUCCACCCUGCUGUUGAAAUCGAUUGAUUGGGUUUCCGACAAACUUGCAACAAGCGGACAUUUUUAUGACAGUAACGGUUUUAAAUUGGAUGUUCACGCUAACUCAGGGAAUGAUCUUCUCCAGUCGCCAAUGUUAACUAAUUUUCUAGACCUAAUCAAGAAAGCUCAAACCCAAAUUCAUUUCAACGGUAGGAUGUAAAGUGAACGGUAUUCUCCCGUCCGUUAUCUCAUUCGUCCGUUACCUCAUCCGUCAGUUACCCCAUUCGUCCGUUAUCCAAUUCGUCCGUCACCCCAUUUGUCCGUUACCCCAUUUGUCCGUUACCCCAUUCGCCCGUUACCCCAUUCGUCCGUUACCCCAUUCGUCCGUUACCCCAUUCGCCCGUUACCCCAUUCGCCCGUUACCUCAUUCCGAACUAGCGGCCGAACGUGAACCCGACACCGGGUCGUGGUGUCCGGUGUCCUGCAGCACUCCCCUGUAGUGGUUUGCGGUGCGUUUUGCUGUGUCAGCGCUGAAUCUGCAGAGGCACUCGCACAUUAAACGGCGUGGAGGCUGGAGCCGGGGCGUCUGUGUGCUCAUGUCCGUCCAUGGAACAAUGCACUCAGUCACCAGUUAUUAGGUCCGCCGAGCUAAAAAUCAAAACACAUCCCGCCUUGUUGAUGGUGGACGCAGCGCUCCCAUUUGUUUGGGACGUCUCCCGAUGCCGAUAGAGUCUCUACGCCGGAGCCGCUUUCACAUACAAUUUACAAGUUUGCAUCGAUUUAAAUGUGUCCCGAAGCGGUCCACAUGGGUUUCACAUACAAGCGGGAAGAGGAGUGCAAAUUUUAAUGUUUCAUUUUCAUUCAUUCCCUUUUAUCCCCUGGUUCAUUUUGACCAGGGGAUAAAGGGGAGGAGUCAAUUGAGCUGCAUCUCCUCAAAUGUCAUUUAAGGCCGAGUGUGCGCACUUACUCGUAACAAUGAACGUUUUUUUUCCUGCUGUUUGUUGUUGAAACCGGCGACCCGCAGCUGAACGCAAUGAGUCAGCUGUGUGUGUGUGUGUGUGUGUGUGUGUGUGUUACUCCCUCACACACACACACUGUGUUGACGGAGGGUCCAGAUGAGGUAACCGUACUCCAUCUUCUUCCUCUUCCUCCUCCUCCUUGCUGCUGUGUGAUUCGAUGAGAGAGGCUCCUCUCUUCACAUUACAUUUGAAAGAAAAUAGGAAACGUCCCUCGGGGGUCAGAGGUCAGCCAUCCAGUUUUUAGAAGCAGAUGUUGGUCUAAGAGUGGUGGGGGCAUCGUUUGAAAAAAAUUUAAAAAAAGAAUUGUGGGACAACUGAUUGUUUCAUUGCCAAAUCUGGUCAGCUCAGAAAUAUUGAGUAGCUCUUUGGUGUGAGGCCCCAAAAUGACGUGUGCACAUUCAGCUGUAAUGAUGGACGACCCGGUCUUAUUCUCUGCAGACACAGACCGUUUAGAAAUGAAACUACAGAGAGACCACAGCCUCCGAACACAACAGCACGGUGGCUCCAGCUUUGUUUCACACUCUUUGCAUGGGGGGGGUGUUUUUGUUCGGGUUCUCUUCGUCUCCGCCUCGUAGUUUGUGUCUGGCUGCACAUCUGUCUGGGAUUAAAGAGAGACAUUCUGGCCGCUCACUGCACCGCCCUCCUUCUUGGGAAUUUUUUUUUUAUCUCAUUUAAUUUUCUUCUGUGUUUUCCUUUCUUUCUUUUUUUUUCCCCCUGGCGUUUUAUUUCUUGACAUCUCGGAGGCGCUGGCUGUGCAGCCGGGGGAUCAGGACCGGCGUUCUGCUCACGCGCCCCGACGGCGUGUGUCGUUGAUGGUUGAAGGACGGGAUGUCGUUAUAAAGUGUGUGUGUGAGAGCGACAGAGGGCAAAAUACAGUGUGCUUGUCGGCCUGAAGUAACAGUUUACACAACAAGUUGUGCGUGUGAGGGCAGGCGAUGCGCUCCGCCUUUUCUGUUUUUCCAUCGCUCCGACUGAGAGCGAGAGGCCUGCUUGUGUGUGUGUGUGUGUGUGAGUGUGCCUGUGUGCAUUUUGUAUUUGAUGGUGGUACAGUAGCGUGUGCUGAUGCUGAAGAUGGGUCAUGUGGUUCCGGGGGGGUGAGAAGGGCUCGCCGGUUCUGGAAAAAAUGUGUGGCUGGAAAGCGAAGGCAGGACGAGCCGGCCCGCUUCAGCGAUUAGGUGUCCGCCCCCAAAAUCUUCAACUUUGUUAACACGGAGGUGCUUUUCGGCGCACGACGACGAGUGUAUUGGCGCUGAUGACCCGGAAUGUGCAUUGAACCGGCCCGCGAGGAGCCCCGCGUGUUGUGGAGCAGACCUGAUGCUUCACGCUGGGCCUCCUUAGCCGAGGGCAGGCCAGAACAGGAGCGGGUCCGACGGUUCUCCUUCGCUGAGUCAGACUCCCUCCCCGUGGUUAUGCGAUGUGCGUGUCAGCAGGUCCUCAGGGUCUUUUUUUCGUACUGGAGGGGGGGGGUGUUGUUGCUUUAUGAACGCGGACCUUCUCACCUUCUCCUCUUUAGCUGUUGCUCCCUCGUUGGUUCCUGCUGCAGAUGUUGUUUCUGGCAGGGCCCAUUUCAACCGAGGACACCGAGGUGGAAACUCGUACUCCCCCCCCCCCGUCCCGCGCGCUGCGUUUAAUCCGUGCGUCACCGUUUAGCCCUUAAGGAAAAAUUCUGAAUCCUGAAAUGUGGAGCUCAGUGACCUUGUGUGUGUGUGUG
This is a long non-coding RNA of Gasterosteus aculeatus aculeatus (three-spined stickleback), 4418 nucleotides long. The record is from Ensembl. Lineage: Eukaryota; Metazoa; Chordata; Actinopteri; Perciformes; Gasterosteidae.